GCCGAAGUGGUGGAAUUGGCAGACGCGCUAGAUUCAGGGUCUAGUGGGAGUUAAUCCCGUGCGGGUUCAAGUCCCGCCUUCGGCACCA
RNAcentral lists this transfer RNA (88 nucleotides) under Bacillota bacterium. RNAcentral's name for it is "tRNA-Leu". It matches the Rfam family "tRNA". Rfam says of the family: Transfer RNA (tRNA) molecules are approximately 80 nucleotides in length. Their secondary structure includes four short double-helical elements and three loops (D, anti-codon, and T loops). Lineage: Bacteria; Bacillati; Bacillota. The record is from RNAcentral.